This 424-nucleotide ribosomal RNA is filed under the name uncultured bacterium. Its description in RNAcentral is "bacterial SSU rRNA". It matches the Rfam family "Bacterial small subunit ribosomal RNA", at positions 355 to 776 of the family's 1533-position model. The record is from RNAcentral.
UAAGGAAUAUUGGUCAAUGGAGGCAACUCUGAACCAGCCAUGCCGCGUGCAGGAUGAAGGCCCUAUGGGUCGUAAACUGCUUUUAUACCGGAGAAAACCACCGUACGUGUACGGUGUUGAUAGUAUGGUAAGAAUAAGCAUCGGCUAACUUCGUGCCAGCAGCCGCGGUAAGACGAAGGAUGCAAGCGUUAUCCGGAUUCAUUGGGUUUAAAGGGUGCGUAGGCGGACUUGUAAGUCAGUGGUGAAAUCUCUUUGCUUAACAAAGAAACUGCCAUUGAUACUGCAGGUCUAGAGUAUAGAUGACGUUGGCGGAAUAUGACAUGUAGUGGUGAAAUACUUAGAUAUGUCAUAGAACACCGAUUGCGAAGGCAGCUAACGAAACUAUAACUGACGCUGAGGCACGAAAGUGCGGGGAUCAAACAGG